GCUACCCCAAGUCAGGUGGGAUCACCCGCUGAGUUUAAGCAUAUCAAUAAGCAGAGGAAAAGAAACUUACUAGGAUUCCCCUAGUAACGAUAAGGAAACCAAGAAGAGCCCAGCUUGAGAAUCGGGUGCCCCCAACAUCCGAAUUGUAGUAUGGAGAAGCGUCCUCAGCGACGGACCAGGCCCAAGUCCCCUAAAAAGGGGAGCAGAAGAGGGUGAGAGCCCCAUUGUGUCAGGAUCUUGUUGCACCAUGAGGCGCUGUCAGCGAGUCAGGUUGUUUGGGAAUGCAGCCCUAAUCAAACGGUAAAUUCCAUCCAAGGCUGAAUAUGGGCAAGAGACUGAUAGCAAACAAGUACCGUGAGGGAAAGAUGUAAAAGACUUUGAAAGAGAGUCAAAGAGUGCUUGAAAUUACCAGGAGGGAAGCAGAUAGGGGCCCAAGAUGCAUCCCGAUCGUAUGUGGAAUGCCGAGAGUUGGUCCGUCGAUCCGUUCGGGCCGUGGACCGACACGGGUCACGACGGUAGCCCAAGCACAAGCUUUUGAUGUGCCCUUGGAGACGUUGUCUCCGCGAUCUUGAAAUGCAGCAUGGGUCAUCUUGACGUGCCUCGACAUCUCCGUGCUUUCGACGGUAGCCUGCAGGCUCCCCAUCCAGUCCGUCUUGAAACACGGACCAAAGAGUCUAACAUGCGUGUGAGUCAAUGGGCCAGGAAACCCGUAAGGCGUAAGGAAGUUGAUUGGCGGGAUCCCUCACGGGUGCACCGUUAAUCGACCUUAAUCUUCUGAGAAGGGUUUGAGUGUGAGCAUGCUUAUCGGGACCCAAAAGAUGGUGAACUAUGCCUGAGCGGGGCGAAGCCAGAGAAAACUCUGGUGAAGGCCCGCAGCGAUACUGAUGUGCAAAUCUUUUGUCUGACUUGGGUAUAAGGGUGAAAGACUAAUCGAAUCGUCUAGCAUUUGGUUCCUUCUGAAGUUUCCCUUAGGAUAGCUAGAGCCCCUAGCUAGUUCUAUCAGGUAAAGCCAAUGAUUAAAGGUAUUGGGGACGCAACGCCCUUGAUCUAUUCUCAAACUUUAAAUAGGUUGGACGAUGCGGUUGCUUCGUUGAGCCAUGCCACAAAAUUGAGAGCUCCAAGUGGGCCAUUUUUGGUAAGCAAAACUGGCGAUGCAAGAUGAACCGGAAGCCGGGUUACAAUGCCCAACUGUGCUCUAACCCAAAACCCAUAAAGGGUGUUGGUCGAUUAAGACAGUAGGACGAUGGUCAUGGAAGUCAAAAUACGCUAAGGAGCAUGUAACAACUCACUUGUCCAAUCAACUAGCCUAAAAAAUGGAUGGUACUUAAGUGCAUGACCUAUACCCGACCGUUGGGGCAAGGGUCAUGCCCCAAUGAGUAGAAAGGCAUGACAGUCUCAACAAAAGCUAGGGCACAAGCCUGGGCAGAGCGGCCGUCGAUGUAGAUCUUGGUGGUAGUAGCUAAUAUUCAAAUGAAAACUUUAAAGGCCGAAGAGGAGAAAGGUUCCAUGUGAAUGGCACUUGCACAUGGGUUAGUCGAUCCUAAGAGACGGGGGAAGCCUGUCCAACAGCGCAUCCCGCGUGAGUGUUGAAAGGGAAUCGGGUUAAAAUUCCUGAAUCGAGAUGCGAUGGCUAACGGCAAUGUUAGGGAGUCCAAAGACGUCGAUGGGGGCUUCAAAAAAAGUUAUCUUUUUUAUUUAAUGGCUCGCCCACCUUGGAAACAGCUCAGUCAGAGGUAGGGUCCAGCAGCAAGAAGAGCACCAUACGUCGCAUGGUGUCCGAUGCACCCCUGGUGACCCUUAAAAAUAUGGAGGAUCGAGUGCUGUUCACGUCUGGUCAUACUCAUAACUACAUCAGGUCUCCAAGGUGAACAGCAUUUGGUCGAUGGAACAAUGUAGGCAAGGAAAGUCGACAAAAUGGAUCUGUAACCUUGGGAAAAAGAUUGGCUCUGAGGUUGGGCAUGGGGGUCCUAGUCAUGAACCCAUCGGCUGUCGGUGCACUACUCGAGCUGUUCUCAUGAUGAGAAUGGGUCACCGAGUGCCGAUCGAGGGACGAACUGGGAACGGCUCCCUUAGGGGCCUUUCUCGGGCAACAAACAAUCGACUCAAAACUGGUACGAACAAGGGGAAUCCGACUGUUUAAUUAAAACAAAGCAUUGUGAUGGUCCCUACAGAUGCUCAUGCAAUGUGAUUUCUACCCAAUGCUCUGAAUGUCAAAGUGAAAAAAUUCAACCAAGUGUGGGUAAAUGAUAGAAGUAACUAUGACUCUCUUAAGGUAGCCAAAUGACUCGUCAUCUAAUUAAUGACUCAUCAUCUAAUUAGUGACGCGCAUGAAUGGAUUAAUGAGAUUUCCACUGUCCCUAUCUACUAUCCAGUGAAACCAUAGCUAAGGGAAUGGGCUUGGUGGAAUCAGCGGGGAAAGAAGACCCUGUUAAGCUUGACUCUAGUCUGACUUUGUGAAAUGACUUGAGAGGUGUAGGAUAAGUGGGAGCCCUCAGGGUGAAAUUGAAAUACCACUACUUUUAACAUUAUUUUACUUAUUCCGUGAAUCAGAGGUAGAGCACGACCCCUUCUUUUGGACCCAAAGUCAGCUUCAGCCGAUCAAUUUAAGCGGAAGACAUUGUCAGGUGAGGAGUUUGGCUGGGGCGGCACAUCUGUUAAAAGAUAACGAAGGUGUCUUAAGAUGAGCUCAACGAGAACAGAAAUCUCAUGUGAAAUAAAAGGGUAAAAGCUUGUUUGAUUAUGAUUUCCAAUACGAAUACAAACCAUGAAAGCAUGGCCUAUCAAUCCUUUAGACCUUCGAGAUUUGAAGCUAGAGGUGUCAAAAAAGUUACCACAGGGAUAACUGGCUUGUGGCAGCCAAGUGUUCAUAGCAACGUUGCUUUUUGAUCCUUUGAUGUCGGCUCUUCCUAUCAUUGUGAAGUAGAAUUCACCAAGUGUUGGAUUGUUCACCCACCAAUAGGGAACGUGAGCUGGGUUUAGACCAUCGUGAGACAAGUUAGUUUUACCCUACUGAUGGUGGCAUCAUGAUAGUAAUUCAACCUAGUACGAGAGGAACCAUUGAUUUGCAUAAUUGGUCAUUGUGCUUGGUUGAAAAGCCAGUGGUGCAAAGCUACCAUGCGCUGGAUUAUGACUAAAUGCCUCUAAGUUAGAAUCUGGGCUAGAAGUGAUGCGCAUGCCCGUCGCUCGAUUGCCAACCCGUAGUAGAGGCCCGUGGCCCCCAAGGGCACGUGUCAUAGGUGCAGCCCCCACGAUGGUAGAGCCGCACGAGCCUCCUUAGAGCUCAAUUCCCACCGAG
This 3295-nucleotide ribosomal RNA is filed under the name Durio zibethinus. RNAcentral's name for it is "eukaryotic LSU rRNA". It matches the Rfam family "Eukaryotic large subunit ribosomal RNA". Lineage: Eukaryota; Viridiplantae; Streptophyta; Magnoliopsida; Malvales; Malvaceae. The record is from RNAcentral.